CCUGGCUCAGAAUGAACGCCGGCGGCAUGGAUUAGGCAUGCAAGUCGAACGGUGAAGCAGAGCUUGCUCUGUGGAUCAGUGGCGAAAGGGUGAGUAACACGUGAGCAACCUGCCCCUGUGUCCGGAAUAGCCUCUGGAAACGGAGAAUAAUACCGGAUGUGGAUUGAGAUCGCAUGGUCUCUUAUCUAAAGAUUUAUCGCACAGGGAUAGGCUCGCGUCCUAUUAGCUUGUUGGUGAGGUAAUGGCUCACCAAGGCUACGACAGGUAGGUGGUCUGAGAGGAUGGUCACCCACACUGGGACUGAGACACUGCCCAGACUCCUACGGGAGGCUGCAGUCGAGAAUCUUCCGCAAUGCGCGAAAGCGUGACGGAGCGAUGCCGCGUGAGGGAUGAAGGCUUUCGGGUCGUAAACCUCUGUCACCCGGGAUGAGAUCUGACGGUGCCCCCAGAGGAAGUCACGGCUAACUACGUGCCAGCAGCCGCGGUAAUACGUAGGUGGCAAGCGUUAUUCGGAUUUAUUGGGCGUAAAGGGUCCGUAGGGGGUUUGAUCAGUCUGGUGUGAAAGCCCGUGGCUCAACCACGGAACUGCACUGGAUACUGACGGACUUGAGUAUGCGAGGGGUGAGCGGAAUUUCAGGUGUAGCGGUGGAAUGCGUAGAUAUCUGAAAGAACACCGAUGGCGAAGGCGGCUCACUGGCGCAAUACUGACCCUCAUGGACGAAAGCGUGGGUAGCAAACAGGAUUAGAUACCCUGGUAGUCCACGCCGUAAACGUUGUAUACUAGAUGUGGGAAGGCCUGGUCCCUUCCGUGUCCAAGCUAACGCGAUAAGUAUACCGCCUGGGGACUACGGCCGCAAGGCUAAAACUCAAAGGAAUUGACGGGGGCCCGCACAAGCGGUGGAGCAUGUGGCUUAAUUCGAGGCAACGCGAAGAACCUUACCUGGACUUGACAUAUAGUGGAUCGUCCCCGAAACGGGACUUCUCUUCGGAGCUGCUAUACAGGUGCUGCAUGGCUGUCGUCAGCUCGUGUCGUGAGAUGUUCGGUUAAGUCCGGCAACGAGCGCAACCCGUAUCAUUAGUUGCCAGCGCGUAAUGGCGGGGACUCUAGUGAGACUGCCCGUGUUAAGCGGGAGGAAGGAGUGGACGACGUCAAGUCAGUAUGGCCCUUACACCCAGGGCUGCACACGUGCUACAAUGGCCGGUACAGUAGGCAGCAAUACCGCGAGGUGGAGCUAAUCCCCAAAACCGGUCCCAGUUCGGAUUGGAGUCUGCAACUCGACUCCAUGAAGUUGGAAUCGCUAGUAAAGGCGUAUCAGCUACGACGCCUUGAAUACGUUCCCGGGCCUUGUACACACCGCCCG
Molecule: ribosomal RNA, 1361 nt
Filed under: uncultured prokaryote
Description: partial 16S ribosomal RNA
Rfam family: Bacterial small subunit ribosomal RNA
Source: RNAcentral